UCACCAGAAACAAAUGAACUCUGGCUUGACGAGGUACCAAUCUGCGCCAGGCUCGUAUUUUUGUGGUUUCCUAGACAGGGAACUCUGCGAAGAGCUCCUUAAUAGGCCAACAAGCCCUGAAACAGAAAGAAUUUUCGCAAGAUUUCUGGCCAAUUCUGGUGGCAAAACAGAGAACAUGUCAAACCAAAACUUCGGAGUAAUUAAGCAAGAUUCUCCAGUGAGAGAAGCAGUGGCACAAGUUAAUCAGCAAGCUCAGCUUAUGGCUUCAGUGAAUAAUAAUGAUGCGAGGUUGCAUCAACAACAACAUCAGCAGCAGCUGCUGCGGCAACAGAGCAAUUAUUCCUCCUCUUCACGGAGUUUUUAUCAAAACCAAUCAAGACCAC
RNAcentral lists this unclassified non-coding RNA (383 nucleotides) under Hevea brasiliensis (rubber tree). The record is from RNAcentral. Lineage: Eukaryota; Viridiplantae; Streptophyta; Magnoliopsida; Malpighiales; Euphorbiaceae.